Molecule: ribosomal RNA, 433 nt
Filed under: uncultured bacterium
Lineage: Bacteria
Description: bacterial SSU rRNA
Rfam family: Bacterial small subunit ribosomal RNA
Source: RNAcentral
AUUGAACGCUGGCGGCAUGCCUUACACAUGCAAGUCGAACGGCAGCACGGGAGCAAUCCUGGUGGCGAGUGGCGAACGGGUGAGUAAUAUAUCGGAACGUGCCCAGUCGUGGGGGUAACGUAGCGAAAGCUACGCUAAUACCGCAUACGAUCUACGGAUGAAAGCGGGGGAUCGCAAGACCUCGCGCGAUUGGAGCGGCCGAUAUCAGAUUAGGUAGUUGGUGAGGUAAAGGCUCACCAAGCCGACGAUCUGUAGCUGGUCUGAGAGGACGACCAGCCACACUGGGACUGAGACACGGCCCAGACUCCUACGGGAGGCAGCAGUGGGGAAUUUUGGACAAUGGGCGCAAGCCUGAUCCAGCAAAUGCCGCGUGCAGGAUGAAGGCCUUCGGUGUAACGCUUUGUACGGAACGAACGGUACGAGCGUCUAAUAC